ACGCUGGCGGCGUGCCUAACACAUGCAAGUCGAACGGGGUCAAAAAGCUUGCUUUUGACUUAGUGGCGGACGGGUGAGUAACGCGUGAGUAACCUGCCUCUGAGAGGGGAAUAACGUUCUGAAAAGAACGCUAAUACCGCAUAACGUAUCGAAGCCGCAUGACUUUGAUACCAAAGAUUUUAUCGCUCGGAGAUGGACUCGCGUCCGAUUAGUUAGUUGGUGAGGUAACGGCUCACCAAGACCGCGAUCGGUAGCCGGACUGAGAGGUUGAUCGGCCACAUUGGGACUGAGACACGGCCCAGACUCCUACGGGAGGCAGCAGUGGGGGAUAUUGCGCAAUGGGGGCAACCCUGAACCGCAGCAACGCCGCGUGAAGGAUGAAGGUUUUCGGAUUGUAAACUUCUUUUAUCAGGGACGAAGCUUGACGGUACCUGAUGAAUAAGCUCCGGCUAACUACGUGCCAGCCGCCGC
RNAcentral lists this ribosomal RNA (471 nucleotides) under uncultured bacterium. Its description in RNAcentral is "bacterial SSU rRNA". It matches the Rfam family "Bacterial small subunit ribosomal RNA", at positions 33 to 518 of the family's 1533-position model. The record is from RNAcentral.